RNAcentral lists this transfer RNA (77 nucleotides) under bacterium. RNAcentral describes it as "tRNA-Arg". It matches the Rfam family "tRNA". From Rfam's summary of the family: Transfer RNA (tRNA) molecules are approximately 80 nucleotides in length. Their secondary structure includes four short double-helical elements and three loops (D, anti-codon, and T loops). Further hydrogen bonds mediate the characteristic L-shaped molecular structure. tRNAs have two regions of fundamental functional importance: the anti-codon, which is responsible for specific mRNA codon recognition, and the 3' end, to which the tRNAs corresponding amino acid is attached (by aminoacyl-tRNA synthetases). tRNAs cope with the degeneracy of the genetic code in two manners: having more than one tRNA (with a specific anti-codon) for a particular amino acid; and 'wobble' base-pairing, i.e. permitting non-standard base-pairing at the 3rd anti-codon position. The record is from RNAcentral.
GCGCCCGUAGCUCAAUUGGAUAGAGCGUUGGCCUCCGGAGCCAAAGGUUGUGGGUUCAAAUCCCGCCGGGCGCACCA